GAGGGUACAGCUCAGUGGUAGAGUGCUUGCUAAGAAUGCAUGAGGUCCUGGGUUCAAUCCCUAGUACCUCCA
Molecule: transfer RNA, 72 nt
Filed under: Camelus ferus (Wild Bactrian camel)
Lineage: Eukaryota; Metazoa; Chordata; Mammalia; Artiodactyla; Camelidae
Rfam family: tRNA
About the family: Transfer RNA (tRNA) molecules are approximately 80 nucleotides in length. Their secondary structure includes four short double-helical elements and three loops (D, anti-codon, and T loops). Further hydrogen bonds mediate the characteristic L-shaped molecular structure. tRNAs have two regions of fundamental functional importance: the anti-codon, which is responsible for specific mRNA codon recognition, and the 3' end, to which the tRNAs corresponding amino acid is attached (by aminoacyl-tRNA synthetases). tRNAs cope with the degeneracy of the genetic code in two manners: having more than one tRNA (with a specific anti-codon) for a particular amino acid; and 'wobble' base-pairing, i.e. permitting non-standard base-pairing at the 3rd anti-codon position.
Source: Rfam by way of RNAcentral